GAAUGCUGACAUAAGUAACGAUAAAGCGGGUGAAAAGCCCGCUCGCCGGAAGACCAAGGGUUCCUGUCCAACGUUAAUCGGGGCAGGGUGAGUCGACCCCUAAGGCGAGGCCGAAAGGCGUAGUCGAUGGGAAACAGGUUAAUAUUCCUGUACUUGGUGUUACUGCGAAGGGGGGACGGAGAAGGCUAUGUUAGCCGGGCGACGGUUGUC
This 210-nucleotide ribosomal RNA is filed under the name Klebsiella pneumoniae. RNAcentral describes it as "partial 23S ribosomal RNA". It matches the Rfam family "Bacterial large subunit ribosomal RNA", at positions 1292 to 1506 of the family's 2925-position model. The record is from RNAcentral. RNAcentral also lists the same sequence under 4 other names. Lineage: Bacteria; Pseudomonadati; Pseudomonadota; Gammaproteobacteria; Enterobacterales; Enterobacteriaceae.